UACGUAGGGGCCAAGCGUUACCCGGAUUUACUGGGCGUAAAGGGCGUGUAGGUGGCUGCGUAAGUUUGCUGUGAAAUCUUUCGGCUCAACCGGGAGAGGUCAGCGAAUACUGCGCGGCUUGAGGGCAGCAGAGGAAGGUGGAAUUCCCGGUGUAGCGGUGAAAUGCGUAGAUAUCUGGAGGAACACCGGUGGCGAAGGCGGCGUUCUGGACUGCAUCUGACACUGAAAGACGAAAGCCAGGGGAGCAAACGGG
This 253-nucleotide ribosomal RNA is filed under the name uncultured bacterium. RNAcentral describes it as "partial 16S ribosomal RNA". It matches the Rfam family "Bacterial small subunit ribosomal RNA", at positions 524 to 776 of the family's 1533-position model. The record is from RNAcentral.